This 373-nucleotide unclassified non-coding RNA is filed under the name soil metagenome. RNAcentral's name for it is "partial contains internal transcribed spacer 2 and large subunit ribosomal RNA". The stretch from base 1 to 120 matches the Rfam family "5.8S ribosomal RNA", at positions 35 to 154 of the family's 154-position model. The record is from RNAcentral.
GAUGAAGAACGCAGCGAAAUGCGAUAAUUAAUGUGAAUUGCAGAAUUCCGUGAAUCAUCGAGUCUUUGAACGCACAUUGCGCCUCAUGGCAUUCCGUGAGGCAUGCCCAUCUCAGCGUUAGAAAAUAUUCUCAAAUUUUAGUUUUGUGCUAAAAUUUGGAUCAUGUCAAGGAAGCUAUUACUAUUAUUGUGAUCGCUCUUUGGAAAUUGAUAGGUCUUUGAGUUGCUACUCAUAGAACGUGAUGAAUCUUUCUUCGUUCUAUUGUAAUUCACUCUGGUAGGCCUAAAACUUGUAUGCCUGUGGCAUAUCUUGUAAUUUGACCUGAGAUUGGGUAGGGAUACCCGCUGAACUUAAGCAUAUCAAUAACGGAGGA